RNAcentral lists this ribosomal RNA (274 nucleotides) under uncultured bacterium. RNAcentral's name for it is "partial 16S ribosomal RNA". It matches the Rfam family "Archaeal small subunit ribosomal RNA", at positions 473 to 747 of the family's 1478-position model. The record is from RNAcentral.
AAACCAGCACCUCAAGUGGUCAGGAUGAUUAUUGGGCCUAAAGCAUCCGUAGCCGGCUCUGUAAGUUUUCGGUUAAAUCUGUACGCUUAACGUACAGGCUGCCGGGAAUACUGCAGAGCUAGGGAGUGGGAGAGGUAGACGGUACUCGGGAGGAAGUGGUAAAAUGCUUUGAUCUCUCGAUGACCACCUGUGGCGAAGGCGGUCUACCAGAACACGUCCGACGGUGAGGGAUGAAAGCUGGGGGAGCAAACCGAAUUAGAAACCCGAGUAGUCC